GAUGAACGCUAGCGGCGUGCCUAAUACAUGCAAGUCGAGCGAACGGACGAGAAGCUUGCUUCUCUGAUGUUAGCGGCGGACGGGUGAGUAACACGUGGAUAACCUACCUAUAAGACUGGGAUAACUUCGGGAAACCGUAGCUAAUACCGGAUAAUAUUUUGAACCGCAUGGUUCAAAAGUGAAAGACGGUCUUGCUGUCACUUAUAGAUGGAUCCGCGCUGCAUUAGCUAGUUGGUAAGGUAACGGCUUACCAAGGCAACGAUGCAUAGCCGACCUGAGAGGGUGAUCGGCCACACUGGAACUGAGACACGGUCCAGACUCCUACGGGAGGCAGCAGUAGGGAAUCUUCCGCAAAGGGCGAAAGCCUGACGGAGCAACGCCGCGUGAGUGAUGAAGGUCUUCGGAUCGUAAAACUCUGUUAUUAGGGAAGAACAUAUGUGUAAGUAACUGUGCACAUCUUGACGGUACCUAAUCAGAAAGCCACGGCUAACUACGUG
RNAcentral lists this ribosomal RNA (497 nucleotides) under uncultured bacterium. RNAcentral's name for it is "partial 16S ribosomal RNA". It matches the Rfam family "Bacterial small subunit ribosomal RNA", at positions 28 to 507 of the family's 1533-position model. The record is from RNAcentral.